RNAcentral lists this ribosomal RNA (408 nucleotides) under Photobacterium sp. AZTITEMP142. Its description in RNAcentral is "bacterial SSU rRNA". It matches the Rfam family "Bacterial small subunit ribosomal RNA", at positions 971 to 1378 of the family's 1533-position model. The record is from RNAcentral. Lineage: Bacteria; Pseudomonadati; Pseudomonadota; Gammaproteobacteria; Vibrionales; Vibrionaceae.
UUANNUACUCUUGNNNUCNNGAGAAUUCGCUAGAGAUAGCUUAGUGCCUUCGGGAACUCUGAGACAGGUGCUGCAUGGCUGUCGUCAGCUCGUGUUGUGAAAUGUUGGGUUAAGUCCCGCAACGAGCGCAACCCUUAUCCUUGUUUGCCAGCACAUAAUGGUGGGAACUCCAGGGAGACUGCCGGUGAUAAACCGGAGGAAGGUGGGGACGACGUCAAGUCAUCAUGGCCCUUACGAGUAGGGCUACACACGUGCUACAAUGGCGUAUACAGAGGGCUGCAAACUAGCGAUAGUGAGCGAAUCCCACAAAGUACGUCGUAGUCCGGAUUGGAGUCUGCAACUCGACUCCAUGAAGUCGGAAUCGCUAGUAAUCGUGAAUCAGAAUGUCACGGUGAAUACGUUCCCGGG